AAUUCGAAUUUUAAGUUUUAGUUGUUUUGUAAAUAUUGUUU
RNAcentral lists this small RNA (41 nucleotides) under Arabidopsis thaliana (thale cress). Its description in RNAcentral is "ATSL156470". The record is from RNAcentral. Lineage: Eukaryota; Viridiplantae; Streptophyta; Magnoliopsida; Brassicales; Brassicaceae.